This 69-nucleotide transfer RNA is filed under the name Niviventer cremoriventer (dark-tailed tree rat). RNAcentral describes it as "tRNA-Ser". It matches the Rfam family "tRNA". From Rfam's summary of the family: Transfer RNA (tRNA) molecules are approximately 80 nucleotides in length. Their secondary structure includes four short double-helical elements and three loops (D, anti-codon, and T loops). Further hydrogen bonds mediate the characteristic L-shaped molecular structure. tRNAs have two regions of fundamental functional importance: the anti-codon, which is responsible for specific mRNA codon recognition, and the 3' end, to which the tRNAs corresponding amino acid is attached (by aminoacyl-tRNA synthetases). tRNAs cope with the degeneracy of the genetic code in two manners: having more than one tRNA (with a specific anti-codon) for a particular amino acid; and 'wobble' base-pairing, i.e. permitting non-standard base-pairing at the 3rd anti-codon position. The record is from RNAcentral. Lineage: Eukaryota; Metazoa; Chordata; Mammalia; Rodentia; Muridae. RNAcentral also lists the same sequence under 1 other name.
GAGAAAGACAUAGUGGUUAUGAAAUUGGCUUGAAACCAAUUCUAGGGGGUUCGAAUCCUUCCUUUCUUA